ACGGAUAGUGCCUCAGGUUCCCCAUUAACGAUCUUUCGUGCGUGAAGGGAAAGUUGAAACAGAUGUAGCGCGAAUACUCUCGAAGGCCGAUCGAUCGUAGGAAGAGGCGCACGCUUUCUUCUGCUUCCAGGUUGCCUUCUUUUGCCCAUUGUAUUUGCUUCAUUCUGACGUUCCGAUAGAUUUUUCUCACACUAAGUUCGCCGAAAUGUAGGUAUGGUGACAGCAGUGAAGUUGUGGCUCCCUCCACCUUCAUCCUAUUUCUCGAAUAUCGCGGUAAGUGACCUUCUACGAAUUCGCUUAGUGCUUUGUCUGCAUUGCUCCAUCCUGGAGACCAUCCCCUACUUAACAGCG
Molecule: long non-coding RNA, 351 nt
Filed under: Ananas comosus (pineapple)
Lineage: Eukaryota; Viridiplantae; Streptophyta; Magnoliopsida; Poales; Bromeliaceae
Description: long non-coding RNA (ACOM_LNC012920)
Source: RNAcentral